UUGAUGGGAAAGUUGUGGAUUUUGCAUAUAAGUUGUUGUAUUGUAUUUUAUGUAUGUUCUGUUCCUUCAUUGGUUGAUAUUUGAUGCAGUACCAUAUGUGGUUAUGUUCAGCCCCUGUUUCCUAUGAUUGGUUGUAAUUUGCAUGCUCCACCUAAACCCCACCUUCUGUUCUAGUGCCUUCCUUAUCCAUGUUAUUUAAGGCUGGAGCCAUUUUGUGCAGUGCCUUUUGUGCCCUUUUGUUCCUUCCUUUAAGCUGUUCAGUUGCCCCGUUACUUUUAUAAUAAAAUCACCUUACCAGCUGCACCCAGACAAGUUGUGGAGGUCUUUAUUCAAGCGCCGACCUCUGCACAU
This is a long non-coding RNA of Neopelma chrysocephalum (saffron-crested tyrant-manakin), 351 nucleotides long. RefSeq lists it as uncharacterized. The transcript is spliced from 3 exons. NCBI's taxonomy places the organism in Eukaryota, Metazoa, Chordata, Aves, Passeriformes, Pipridae. The record is from RefSeq and is a predicted model, not a curated record.